Molecule: RNA transcript, 7428 nt
Organism: Macaca mulatta (Rhesus monkey)
Lineage: Eukaryota; Metazoa; Chordata; Mammalia; Primates; Cercopithecidae
Gene: MYO7A
Gene name: myosin VIIA
Source: RefSeq, a predicted model, not a curated record
AUGGACCCGCGGCAGAUGGCCCGGUUUAGGGUUCCGGGGCGGGCGGCGCGCACGGGAUUAGGUGAAUUAGGGAGCCGGAGCAGUGCCGCCAUCGCCGCACCAUGGAGCCCCCCGCCGACCCCGCCGACUCUGCCGACCCCGCCGACUCUGCCGACCCCGCGCGCGUCCCGCAGCUCGGCAAGUGGGCGCUGGUGCGCAGCCUGAACCAGGCGUUCAAGACCUACGCUGUCCUGCCGGGGGACUAUGUGUGGAUGGACCUGAGAUCGGGGCAGGAGUUUGAUGUGCCCAUCGGGGCAGUGGUGAAGCUCUGCGACUCUGGGCAGAUCCAGGUGGUGGACGAUGAAGGCAAUGAACACUGGAUCUCCCCGCAGAACGCAACGCACAUCAAGCCUAUGCACCCCACGUCGGUCCACGGCGUGGAGGAUAUGAUCCGCCUAGGGGACCUCAACGAGGCGGGCAUCUUGCGCAACCUGCUUAUCCGCUACCGAGACCACCUCAUCUACACCAACUGCGGAGGGCGGACGUAUACGGGCUCCAUCCUGGUGGCCGUGAACCCCUACCAGCUGCUCUCCAUCUACUCACCAGAGCACAUCCGCCAGUAUACCAACAAGAAGAUUGGGGAGAUGCCCCCCCACAUCUUUGCCAUUGCUGACAACUGCUACUUCAACAUGAAACGCAAUAGCCGUGACCAGUGCUGCAUCAUCAGUGGGGAAUCUGGGGCUGGGAAGACGGAGAGCACAAAGCUGAUCCUGCAGUUCCUGGCAGCCAUCAGUGGACAACACUCAUGGAUUGAGCAGCAGGUCUUGGAGGCCACCCCCAUUCUGGAAGCAUUCGGGAAUGCCAAGACCAUCCGCAACGAUAACUCAAGCCGUUUCGGAAAGUACAUCGACAUCCACUUCAACAAGCGGGGCGCCAUCGAGGGCGCCAAGAUUGAGCAGUACCUGCUGGAGAAGUCGCGCGUCUGUCGCCAGGCCCCAGAUGAAAGGAACUACCACGUGUUCUACUGCAUGCUGGAGGGCAUGAGUGAAGAUCAGAAGAAGAAGCUGGGCUUGGGCCAGGCCUCUGACUACAACUACUUGGCCAUGGGUAACUGCAUAACCUGUGAGGGCCGGGUGGACAGCCAGGAGUACGCCAACAUCCGUUCCGCCAUGAAGGUGCUCAUGUUCACUGACACCGAGAACUGGGAGAUCUCGAAGCUCCUGGCCGCCAUCCUGCACCUGGGCAACCUGCAGUAUGAGGCCCGCACAUUUGAAAAUCUGGAUGCCUGUGAGGUCCUCUUCUCGCCGUCGCUGGCCACAGCUGCAUCCCUGCUUGAGGUGAAUCCUCCAGACCUGAUGAGCUGCCUGACCAGCCGCACCCUCAUCACCCGUGGGGAGACGGUGUCCACCCCACUGAGCAGGGAGCAGGCACUGGACGUACGCGACGCCUUCGUCAAGGGGAUCUACGGGCGGCUGUUCGUGUGGAUUGUGGACAAGAUCAACGCUGCAAUUUACAAGCCUCCCUCCCAGGAUGUGAAGAACUCUCGCAGGUCCAUCGGCCUCCUGGACAUCUUUGGGUUCGAGAACUUUGCUGUGAACAGCUUCGAGCAGCUCUGCAUCAACUUUGCCAAUGAGCACCUGCAGCAGUUCUUUGUGAGACACGUGUUCAAGCUGGAGCAGGAGGAGUAUGACCUGGAGAGCAUCGACUGGCUGCACAUCGAGUUCACCGACAACCAGGACGCCCUGGACAUGAUCGCCAACAAGCCCAUGAAUAUCAUCUCCCUCAUCGAUGAGGAGAGCAAGUUCCCCAAGGGCACGGACACCACCAUGUUACACAAGCUGAACUCCCAGCACAAGCUCAAUGCGAACUACAUUCCCCCCAAGAACAACCACGAGACCCAGUUUGGCAUCAACCAUUUUGCAGGUGUCGUCUACUAUGAAACCCAAGGCUUCCUGGAGAAGAACCGAGACACCCUGCAUGGGGACAUUAUCCAACUGGUCCACUCCUCCAGGAACAAGUUCAUCAAGCAGAUAUUCCAGGCCGACGUUGCCAUGGGCGCCGAGACCAGGAAGCGCUCGCCCACACUCAGCAGCCAGUUCAAGCGGUCGCUGGAGCUGCUGAUGCGCACGCUGGGUGCCUGCCAGCCCUUCUUUGUGCGAUGCAUCAAGCCCAAUGAGUUCAAGAAGCCCAUGCUGUUUGACCGGCACCUGUGUGUGCGCCAGCUGCGGUACUCAGGGAUGAUGGAGACCAUCCGAAUCCGCCGAGCUGGCUACCCCAUCCGCUACAGCUUCGUGGAGUUCGUGGAGCGGUACCGCGUGCUGCUGCCGGGUGUGAAGCCAGCCUACAAGCAGGGUGACCUUCGCGGGACGUGCCAGCGCAUGGCUGAGACUGUGCUGGGCACCCACGAUGACUGGCAGAUAGGCAAAACCAAGAUCUUUCUGAAGGACCACCAUGACAUGCUGCUGGAAGUGGAGCGGGACAAAGCCAUCACUGACAGAGUCAUCCUCCUCCAGAAGGUCAUCCGGGGGUUCAAAGACAGGUCUAACUUCCUGAAGCUGAAGAACGCUGCCACGCUGAUCCAGAGGCACUGGCGGGGUCACAACUGCAGGAAGAACUACGGGCUGAUGCGUCUGGGCUUCCUGCGGCUGCAGGCUCUACACCGCUCCCGGAAGCUGCACCAGCAGUACCGCCUGGCCCGCCAGCGCAUCAUCCAGUUCCAGGCCCGCUGCCGCGCUUAUCUGGUGCGCAAGGCCUUCCGCCACCGCCUCUGGGCUGUGCUUACCGUGCAGGCCUAUGCCCGGGGCAUGAUCGCCCGCAGGCUGCACCAACGCCUCAGGGCUGAGUACCUGCGGCGCCUCGAGGCUGAGAAAAUGCGGCUGGCAGAGGAAGAGAAGCUCCGGAAGGAGAUGAGUGCCAAGAAGGCCAAGGAGGAGGCGGAGCGCAAGCAUCAGGAGCGCCUGGCCCAGCUGGCUCGUGAGGACGCCGAGCGGGAACUGAAGGAGAAGGAGGCUGCUCGGCGGAAGAAGGAGCUCCUAGAGCAGAUGGAAAGGGCCCGCCACGAGCCCGUCAAUCACUCAGACAUGGUGGACAAGAUGUUUGGCUUCCUGGGGACUUCAGGUGGCCUGCCAGGCCAGGAGGGCCAGGCACCUAGUGGCUUUGAGGACCUGGAGCGAGGGCGGAGGGAGAUGGUGGAGGAGGACCUGGAUGCAGCCCUGCCCCUGCCUGAUGAGGAUGAGGAGGACCUCUCUGAGUAUAAAUUUGCCAAGUUUGCUGCCACCUACUUCCAGGGGACAACCACGCACUCCUACACCCGGCGGCCACUCAAACAGCCACUGCUCUACCAUGACGACGAGGGUGACCAGCUGGCAGCCCUGGCGGUCUGGAUCACCAUCCUCCGCUUCAUGGGGGACCUCCCGGAGCCCAAGUACCACACAGCCAUGAGUGAUGGCAGCGAGAAGAUCCCUGUGAUGACCAAGAUUUACGAGACCCUGGGCAAGAAGACGUACAAGAGGGAGCUGCAGGCCCUGCAGGGCGAGGGUGAGGCCCAGCUCCCUGAGGGCCAGAAGAGGAGCAGUGUGAGACACAAGCUGGUGCAUUUGACUCUGAAAAAGAAGUCCAAGCUCACAGAGGAGGUGACCAAGAGGCUGCAUGACGGGGAGUCCACGGUCCAGGGCAACAGCAUGCUGGAGGACCGGCCCACCUCCAACCUGGAGAAGCUGCACUUCAUCAUCGGCAAUGGCAUCCUGCGGCCAGCUCUCCGGGAUGAGAUCUACUGCCAGAUCAGCAAGCAGCUGACCCACAACCCCUCCAAGAGCAGCUAUGCCCGGGGCUGGAUUCUCGUGUCUCUCUGCGUGGGCUGUUUUGCCCCCUCCGAGAAGUUUGUCAAGUACCUGCGGAACUUCAUCCACGGGGGCCCGCCCGGCUACGCCCCGUACUGUGAGGAGCGUCUGAGGAGGACCUUUGUCAAUGGGACACGGACACAGCCGCCUAGCUGGCUGGAGCUGCAGGCCACCAAGUCCAAGAAGCCAAUCAUGCUGCCCGUGACAUUCAUGGACGGGACCACCAAGACCCUGCUGACAGACUCGGCAACCACGGCCAAGGAGCUCUGCAACGCGCUGGCCGACAAGAUCUCUCUCAAGGACCGCUUCGGGUUCUCCCUCUACAUUGCCCUGUUUGACAAGGUAUCCUCCCUGGGCAGCGGCAGCGACCAUGUCAUGGACGCCAUCUCCCAGUGCGAGCAGUAUGCCAAGGAGCAGGGUGCCCAGGAGCGCAACGCCCCCUGGAGGCUCUUCUUCCGCAAAGAGGUCUUCACACCCUGGCACAGCCCCUCUGAGGACAACGUGGCCACCAACCUUAUCUACCAGCAGGUGGUGCGAGGAGUCAAGUUUGGGGAGUACAGGUGUGAGAAGGAGGACGACCUGGCUGAGCUGGCCUCCCAGCAGUACUUUGUGGACUAUGGCUCUGAGAUGAUCCUGGAGCGCCUCCUGAACCUCGUACCCACCUACAUCCCCGACCGCGAGAUCACGCCCCUGAAGACGCUGGAGAAGUGGGCCCAGUUGGCCAUUGCCGCCCACAAGAAGGGGAUUUAUGCCCAGAGGAGAACUGAUGCCCAGAAGGUCAAAGAGGAUGUGGUCAAUUACGCCCGCUUUAAGUGGCCCUUACUCUUCUCCAGGUUUUAUGAAGCCUACAAAUUCUCAGGCCCCAGCCUCCCCAAGAACGAUGUGAUCGUGGCUGUCAACUGGACAGGCGUGUACUUUGUGGAUGAGCAGGAGCAGGUACUUCUGGAGCUGUCCUUCCCAGAGAUCAUGGCCGUGUCCAGCAGCAGGGGAGCGAAAACGACAGCCCCCAGCUUCACACUGGCCACCAUCAAGGGGGACGAAUACACCUUCACCUCUAGCAAUGCUGAGGACAUUCGUGACCUGGUGGUCACCUUCCUAGAGGGGCUCCGGAAGAGAUCUAAGUAUGUUGUGGCCCUGCAGGAUAACCCCAACCCCGCGGGCGAGGAGUCAGGCUUCCUCAGCUUUGCCAAGGGAGACCUCAUCAUCUUGGACCACGACACGGGUGAGCAGGUCAUGAACUCGGGCUGGGCCAACGGCAUCAAUGAGAGGACCAAGCAGCGUGGGGACUUCCCCACUGACUGUGUGUACGUCAUGCCCACUGUCACCAUGCCACCGCGGGAGAUUGUGGCCCUGGUCACCAUGACUCCCGACCAGCGGCAGGACGUCGUCCGGCUCUUGCAGCUGCGAACGGCAGAGCCUGAGGUGCGUGCCAAGCCCUACACGCUGGAGGAGUUCUCCUACGACUACUUCAGGCCCCCACCUAAGCACACGCUGAGCCGCGUCAUGGUGUCCAAGGCCCGAGGCAAGGACCGGCUAUGGAGCCACACGCGGGAGCCGCUCAAGCAGGCGCUGCUCAAGAAGCUCCUGGGCAGUGAGGAGCUCUCGCAGGAGGCCUGCCUGGCCUUCAUUGCUGUGCUCAAGUACAUGGGCGACUACCCGUCCAAGAGGACACGGUCUGUCAACGAGCUCACCGACCAGAUUUUUGAGGGUCCCCUGAAAGCCGAGCCCCUGAAGGAUGAGGCGUACGUGCAGAUCCUGAAGCAGCUGACCGACAACCACAUCAGGUACAGCGAGGAGCGAGGUUGGGAGCUGCUCUGGCUGUGCACGGGCCUCUUCCCACCCAGCAACAUCCUCCUGCCCCACGUGCAGCGCUUCCUGCAGUCCCGAAAGCACUGCCCACUAGCCAUCGACUGCCUGCAGCGGCUCCAGAAAGCCCUGAGAAAUGGGUCCCGGAAGUACCCUCCACACCUGGUGGAGGUGGAGGCCAUCCAGCACAAGACCACCCAGAUUUUCCACAAGGUCUACUUCCCUGACGACACUGACGAGGCCUUCGAAGUGGAGUCCAGCACCAAGGCCAAGGACUUCUGCCAGAACAUCGCCACCAGGCUGCUCCUCAAGUCCUCAGAGGGAUUCAGCCUCUUUGUCAAAAUUGCAGACAAGGUCAUCAGCGUGCCUGAGAAUGACUUCUUCUUUGACUUUGUUCGACACUUGACAGACUGGAUAAAGAAAGCUCGGCCCAUCAAGGACGGAAUUGUGCCCUCACUCACCUACCAGGUGUUCUUCAUGAAGAAGCUGUGGACCACCACGGUGCCAGGGAAGGACCCCAUGGCCGAUUCCAUCUUCCACUAUUACCAGGAGUUGCCCAAGUAUCUCCGAGGCUACCACAAGUGCACGCGGGAGGAGGUGCUGCAGCUGGGGGCGCUGAUCUACAGGGUCAAGUUCGAGGAGGACAAGUCCUACUUCCCCAGCAUCCCCAAGCUGCUGCGGGAGCUGGUGCCCCAGGACCUUAUCCGACAGGUCUCGCCUGAUGACUGGAAGCGGUCCAUCGUCGCCUACUUCAACAAGCACGCAGGGAAGUCCAAGGAGGAGGCCAAGCUGGCCUUCCUGAAGCUCAUCUUCAAGUGGCCCACAUUUGGCUCAGCCUUCUUCGAGGUGAAGGUACACCAUGGGCUUCUCAGAACAGAGGAGGAGGGGAACAGGGCAUUGAGAAGGCACAGAGACUCCUCCCCAGGACUGUGGGAAACAGCCAUGGCCUUGGACACCUGCCCUGCAAACUACAGAGCCAAACUUCCCUGAGAUCCUUCUAAUUGCCAUCAACAAGUAUGGGGUCAGCCUCAUCGAUCCCAGAACAAAGGACAUCCUCACCACUCACCCCUUCACCAAGAUCUCCAACUGGAGCAGCGGCAACACCUACUUCCACAUCACCAUUGGAAACUUGGUGCGCGGGAGCAAAUUGCUCUGCGAGACAUCACUGGGCUACAAGAUGGAUGACCUCCUGACUUCCUACAUUAGCCAGAUGCUCACAGCCAUGAGCAAACAGCGGGGCUCCAGGAGUGGCAAGUGAACAGUCAGCGGGAGGUGCUGGUUCCAAGCCUGCUCUCGAGGCAGUGGGCUCAGGCCCAUCAGCUACCCCUGCAGCUGGGGAAGACUUCUGCCAUCCUGGCAGUGAGGCUGGGCUGGCCAGCCACCAUGGACCAUACCGACUGGGCCUCUGAUGUUCUUCCAGUGAGGCAUCUCUCUGGGAUGCAGAACUUCCCUCCAUCCACCCCUCUGGCACCUGGGUUGGUCUAGUCUGAGCUUGCUGUGGCCUUCCUGGUUAUGAGAGCCUAUGAUCCUUAGAUGUGUCUCCUGUUUCAGACCAGCCCCACCAUGCAACUUCCUUUGACUUUCUGUGUACCACAGGGAUAGAGGAAUUAAGAGGACAAUCUAGCUCUCUAUACUUGGAACCACCAAACCAAAUGUGCAUUGAAUACUCUGAAACUGAAGGGACUGGAUCUACAGGUGGGAUGAGGGGGACAGACCACUUUUCUAUAUUGCAGUGUGAAUGUUGGGCCCCUGCUCAAGUCUCUCCUGAUCACCUCAGGGCAUAAAGCAUGUUUCAUCCUCUGGC